This 253-nucleotide ribosomal RNA is filed under the name uncultured bacterium. RNAcentral describes it as "partial 16S ribosomal RNA". It matches the Rfam family "Bacterial small subunit ribosomal RNA", at positions 524 to 776 of the family's 1533-position model. The record is from RNAcentral.
GACAGAGGGGGCAAGCGUUGCUCGGAAUUACUGGGCGUAAAGGGCUCGUAGGCGGCCAACUCAGUCGGACGUGAAAUCCCUCGGCUUAACCGGGGAACGGCGUCCGAUACUGGAUGGCUUGAAUCCGAGAGAGGGAUGCGGAAUUCCAGGUGUAGCGGUGAAAUGCGUAGAUAUCUGGAGGAACACCGGUGGCGAAGGCGGCAUCCUGGAUUGGUAUUGACGCUGAGGAGCGAAAGCUAGGGGAGCAAACGGG